RNAcentral lists this transfer RNA (68 nucleotides) under Anopheles janconnae. RNAcentral describes it as "tRNA-Glu". The record is from RNAcentral. Lineage: Eukaryota; Metazoa; Arthropoda; Insecta; Diptera; Culicidae.
AAUUUAUAUAGUUUAAACAAAAACAUUACAUUUUCAAUGUAAAAAUAAAAAUUUAUUUUUUAUAAAUA